UUAUGUGUGUUUUAGUGGAACGCUCUGGGAAGUGCGAACGUAGAGGGUGAUAUUCCCGUACACGAAAGGGCACACAUAAUGAUGACGAGUAGGGCGAGGCACGUGAAACCUUGUCUGAAUAUGGGGGGACCAUCCUCCAAGGCUAAAUACUCCUGACUGACCGAUAGUGAACCAGUACCGUGAGGGAAAGGCGAAAAGAACCCCUGUGAGGGGAGUGAAAUAGAUCCUGAAACCGCAUGCAUACAAGCAGUGGGAGCACCUUCGUGGUGUGACUGCGUACCUUUUGUAUAAUGGGUCAGCGACUUAUAUUCAGUAGCGAGGUUAACCGUAUAGGGGAGCCGUAGAGAAAUCGAGUCUUAAUAGGGCGUUUAGUUGCUGGGUAUAGACCCGAAACCAGGCGAUCUAUCCAUGAGCAGGUUGAAGGUUGGGUAACACUAACUGGAGGACCGAACCCACUGUCGUUGAAAAGCCAGGGGAUGACUUGUGGAUAGGGGUGAAAGGCUAAUCAAGCCUGGUGAUAGCUGGUUCUCCCCGAAAGCUAUUUAGGUAGCGCCUCGGACGAAUACCAUAGGGGGUAGAGCACUGUUUCGGCUAGGGGGUCAUCCCGACUUACCAAACCGAUGCAAACUCCGAAUACCUAUGAGUACUAUCCGGGAGACAGACUGCGGGUGCUAACGUCCGUAGUCAAGAGGAAAACAAUCCAGACCGCCAGCUAAGGCCCCAAAAUCAUAGUUAAGUGGGAAACGAUGUGGGAAGGCAUAGACAGCUAGGAGGUUGGCUUAGAAGCAGCCACCCUUUAAAGAAAGCGUAAUAGCUCACUAGUCGAGUCGGCCUGCGCGGAAGAUGUAACGGGGCUAAAACUAUGUGCCGAAGCUGCGGAUGUAUACUUUGUAUACGUGGUAGGGGAGCGUUCUGUAAGCCGAUGAAGGUGUGUUGAGAAGCAUGCUGGAGGUAUCAGAAGUGCGAAUGCUGACGUGAGUAACGACAAAACGGGUGAAAAACCCGUUCGCCGAAAGACCAAGGGUUCCAGUCCAACGUUAAUCGGGGCUGGGUGAGUCGACCCCUAAGGCGAGGCCGAAAGGCGUAGUCGAUGGGAAAAUGGUUAAUAUUCCAUUACUUCUGUGUAAUGCGAUGAGAGGACGGAGAAGGCUAAAUCAGCCUGGCGUUGGUUGUCCAGGUGAAAGGAUGUAGGCAUGUAUCUUAGGCAAAUCCGGGGUACUCUAUGCUGAGAUCUGAUAGCAAGCUGUACUUGUACAGCGAAGUGGUUGAUGCCAUGCUUCCAGGAAAAGUCUCUAAGCUUCAGUUACACAGGAAUCGUACCCGAAACCGACACAGGUGGUCAGGUCGAGUAGACCAAGGCGCUUGAGAGAACUCUGCUGAAGGAACUAGGCAAAAUGGUACCGUAACUUCGGGAGAAGGUACGCUGUUGUUGGUGAUGGAACUCGCUUCCUGAGCUGACGACAGCCGCAGAAACCAGGCCGCUGCAACUGUUUAUUAAAAACAUAGCACUCUGCAAACACGAAAGUGGACGUAUAGGGUGUGAUGCCUGCCCGGUGCUGGAAGGUUAAUUGAUGGGGUUAGCGUAAGCGAAGCUCUUGAUCGAAGCCCCAGUAAACGGCGGCCGUAACUAUAACGGUCCUAAGGUAGCGAAAUUCCUUGUCGGGUAAGUUCCGACCUGCACGAAUGGCAUAAUGAUGGCGGCGCUGUCUCCAGCAGAGGCUCAGUGAAAUCGAAAUCGCUGUGAAGAUGCAGUGUACCCGCGGCUAGACGGAAAGACCCCGUGAACCUUUACUGCAGCUUGACACUGAACUUUGACCUUACUUGUGUAGGAUAGGUGGGAGGCUUUGAAGCUGGAACGCUAGUUCCAGUGGAGCCGUCCUUGAAAUACCACCCUGGUAAUGUUGAGGUUCUAACUCUGUCCCGUGAUCCGGGACGAGGACCGUGUCUGGUGGGUAGUUUGACUGGGGCGGUCUCCUCCUAAAGAGUAACGGAGGAGUACGAAGGUGCGCUCAGCGUGGUCGGAAAUCACGCGUAGAGUAUAAAGGCAAAAGCGCGCUUAACUGCGAGACCCACAAGUCGAGCAGGUACGAAAGUAGGUCUUAGUGAUCCGGUGGUUCUGUAUGGAAGGGCCAUCGCUCAACGGAUAAAAGGUACUCUGGGGAUAACAGGCUGAUACCGCCCAAGAGUUCAUAUCGACGGCGGUGUUUGGCACCUCGAUGUCGGCUCAUCUCAUCCUGGGGCUGAAGCAGGUCCCAAGGGUAUGGCUGUUCGCCAUUUAAAGAGGUACGCGAGCUGGGUUUAGAACGUCGUGAGACAGUUCGGUCCCUAUCUACCGUGGGCGCUGGAAAUUUGAGAGGAUCUGCUCCUAGUACGAGAGGACCAGAGUGGACGAACCUCUGGUGUACCGGUUGUGACGCCAGUCGCAUCGCCGGGUAGCUAUGUUCGGAAGGGAUAACCGCUGAAAGCAUCUAAGCGGGAAGCCUACCUCAAGAUAAGAUUUCCCUAGGACUUUAUGUCCUCUAAAGAGCCGUUCGAGACUAGGACGUUGAUAGGUUGGAUGUGGAAGCAUAGUGAUAUGUGAAGCUGACCAAUACUAAUUGCUCGUGAGGCUUGACUAU
RNAcentral lists this ribosomal RNA (2618 nucleotides) under Acinetobacter baumannii 628418. RNAcentral describes it as "bacterial LSU rRNA". It matches the Rfam family "Bacterial large subunit ribosomal RNA", at positions 318 to 2925 of the family's 2925-position model. The record is from RNAcentral. Lineage: Bacteria; Pseudomonadati; Pseudomonadota; Gammaproteobacteria; Moraxellales; Moraxellaceae.